Molecule: ribosomal RNA, 921 nt
Filed under: Arthrobacter sp.
Lineage: Bacteria; Bacillati; Actinomycetota; Actinomycetes; Micrococcales; Micrococcaceae
Description: bacterial SSU rRNA
Rfam family: Bacterial small subunit ribosomal RNA
Source: RNAcentral
UUGGGCGUGAGAGCUCGUACGCGGUUUGUCGCGUCUGCCGUGAAAUUCCGGGGGUCGCCUCCGGAUCUGCGGUGGGUACGGGCAGACUAGAGUGAUGUAGGGGAGACUGAAAUUCCUGGUGUAGCGGUGAAAUGCGCAGAUAUCAGGAGGAACACCGAUGGCGAAGGCAGGUCUCUGGGCAUUAACUGACGCUGAGGAGCGAAAGCAUGGGGAGCGAACAGGAUUAGAUACCCUGGUAGUCCAUGCCGUAAACGUUGGGCACUAGGUGUGGGGGACAUUCCACGUUUUCCGCGCCGUAGCUAACGCAUUAAGUGCCCCGCCUGGGGAGUACGGCCGCAAGGCUAAAACUCAAAGGAAUUGACGGGGGCCCGCACAAGCGGCGGAGCAUGCGGAUUAAUUCGAUGCAACGCGAAGAACCUUACCAAGGCUUGACAUGGACCGGAUCGCCGCAGAAAUGUGGUUUCUCCUUUUGGGGCCGGUUCACAGGUGGUGCAUGGUUGUCGUCAGCUCGUGUCGUGAGAUGUUGGGUUAAGUCCCGCAACGAGCGCAACCCUCGUUCCAUGUUGCCAGCACGUAGUGGUGGGGACUCAUGGGAGACUGCCGGGGUCAACUCGGAGGAAGGUGGGGACGACGUCAAAUCAUCAUGCCCCUUAUGUCUUGGGCUUCACGCAUGCUACAAUGGCCGGUACAAAGGGUUGCGAUACUGUGAGGUGGAGCUAAUCCCAAAAAGCCGGUCUCAGUUCGGAUUGGGGUCUGCAACUCGACCCCAUGAAGUCGGAGUCGCUAGUAAUCGCAGAUCAGCAACGCUGCGGUGAAUACGUUCCCGGGCCUUGUACACACCGCCCGUCAAGUCACGAAAGUUGGUAACACCCGAAGCCGGUGGCCUAACCCCUUGUGGGAGGGAGCCGUCGAAGUGGGACU